AACAUGGCUAGGCUUAUUUCUAGCGUAAAAAACCACAAAUGAAAACAUUUACUUAUAAUAGAUAAUACUUGUGUGAUAGGUUACUAAAUUAAAUUAUGUUAGUUUCUAUAAAUGAUUGAGAUAUGAGAUUACAAUUUUCAUAGUUCAUAUGAUACACUUCUAAUCACAAACAAUAUAUUUCUCAACAGUUUCCUUUGUUAGUUUAACUAUUUUACCACCAAAAAUUUGACCAAAUGGUGAGAAUUUCCACCACCUUCUUCGUCAUCAGUGUCGUGUUUGCAGUUUUUCUAACCAUGUGUGGUCCAACAUUGGCCCAAUACAUUGGCGAUAAUACUAGGAUUUUAUGUACGGGUGUUGGUGGAACUUGUGGAACCCCUGUAGCUUAUGAUUGUUGUGGAGGAAUGAUCUGCUACUUGCCAUAUCCUGAAAAUCCUUAUGCUGGUGGAGUUUGUAGGUAUUAAAUACAUCGAGGACAUUGCUUCUAGAUAACGAGGUUACCAAGCUUUAUCCCUUUGUGAUUGAGUCAUUUACAAGAAUUGAAAAAGUAAUCUCAUGGUUUGACAAUAGAAAAUUAGCUUUGAGUUAUUUCAUGUAUACGUAUUAUUAACUUUUGUAAAAUGAAUAAAUACGUAUAAGAUUCAAUCAAGAAUUUUAUGUGUGAAGGCAUAUUUUUUUUUGUUAACCGUGUAUUAAUACGAGGCACCGCGUGCCCAACUCCAGAAACCAGUAGUAAUAUUUUGUUUUCCUCAAUU
Molecule: long non-coding RNA, 752 nt
Organism: Spinacia oleracea (spinach)
Lineage: Eukaryota; Viridiplantae; Streptophyta; Magnoliopsida; Caryophyllales; Amaranthaceae
Exons: 2
Source: RefSeq, a predicted model, not a curated record